Molecule: long non-coding RNA, 389 nt
Organism: Lepus europaeus (European hare)
Lineage: Eukaryota; Metazoa; Chordata; Mammalia; Lagomorpha; Leporidae
Exons: 3
Source: RefSeq, a predicted model, not a curated record
CAGAGAGCCAGGUGGAUCUGUCACGGGCCCAAGUCUCCGCUAACAACAGGUUGCCCCAAGGGCUGGUGUGGCCAGAGCAAUGCCUGAGUUCUCCAAGUGGAGGUCACCAAACUCGAGACGGUGCUGGACUUCGUCUGUAUUCAGCACAGUGGCAAACAAUGAAGACCUUUGCUGAAAACAGAAUCGGAUGAGCACUUCCAUAGAUUCGCCGAAACUCAAAUCCUAGCACUGGGAAGGUUUUUAAAAUGACGCCUAGGCCAGUUAUUUUGUUCCUUCCACAAAGCCAACAACUUCUUUAAUUCCUGCUUUGAUGUCUGCAAGCUAACCAGUGACGUCAUACUUCUGUGCUUAGGGGAUUUCUGUACAUUCUAAGAAAUGUGUCAUCAUGC